This 719-nucleotide ribosomal RNA is filed under the name uncultured bacterium. RNAcentral describes it as "bacterial SSU rRNA". It matches the Rfam family "Bacterial small subunit ribosomal RNA", at positions 8 to 762 of the family's 1533-position model. The record is from RNAcentral.
AGAGUUUGAUCCUGGCUCAGAAUCAACGCUGGCGGCGCGCUUAACACAUGCAAGUCGAACGAGAAAGCCCGCAAGGGUGAGUAAAGUGGCGUACGGGUGAGUAACACGUGGGUAAUCUACCUUUUGGUGGGGAAUAACCCUGGGAAACCGGGGCUAAUACCGCAUAAGCUCGAAAGAGGAAAGGAGCAAUUCGCCGAAAGAGGAGCCCGCGGCUGAUUAGCUAGUUGGUAGGGUAAAAGCCUACCAAGGCUAUGAUCGGUAGCCGGCCUGAGAGGGCACACGGCCACACUGGCACUGAAACACGGGCCAGACUCCUACGGGAGGCAGCAGUGGGGAAUCUUGCACAAUGGGGGAAACCCUGAUGCAGCGACGCCGCGUGAGUGAUGAAGCCCUUCGGGGUGUAAAGCUCUUUCGGCAGGGACGAUAAUGACGGUACCUGAAGAAGAAGCUGCGGCUAACUACGUGCCAGCAGCCGCGGUAAUACGUAGGCAGCGAGCGUUGUUCGGAGUUACUGGGCGUAAAGAGUGCGUAGGCGGUUUUCUAAGUUUGGUGUGAAAUCUCCCGGCUUAACUGGGAGGGUGCGCCGAAGAUUGGAAGGCUAGAGUAUGGGGAGAGGUAAGCGGAAUUCCUGGUGUAGCGGUGAAAUGCGUAGAUAUCAGAGGAACACCUGCGGUGUAGACGGCUUACUGGACCAUAACUGACGCUGAGCACGAAAGCGU